Papaver somniferum (opium poppy) is the source of this 780-nucleotide long non-coding RNA. RefSeq lists it as uncharacterized. NCBI's taxonomy places the organism in Eukaryota, Viridiplantae, Streptophyta, Magnoliopsida, Ranunculales, Papaveraceae. The transcript is spliced from 3 exons. The record is from RefSeq and is a predicted model, not a curated record.
CCAAACACCUAAUCGACUCACUUUCCUAGUUUAUCUUUUCAGUUCUCAAUUCCCUCUCUCGGUUCUCUUCUCCACUCUUCAACUUAGAGUUCAGAUUCACUCUUCAAAGAUCAAAUCACCACCAGUAACAACGUCUAAUCACCACCAGUAACACCAACAAGGCAACAACCUGAGGAAAACUGUCUUAGACUAGAAGCUCGCCUAAGAGGAAAUCAAUUGAAAGAUUGAUUAAAGGAGAAACUAUCUUGUUAGAUAGGUUAACAUGGAUGAAAUCUCACAAGAUAAUUCUAUUCCAAAUCUUCCAGUCAUACAUGGAGUCACACCGCAAAGGGAGCAUAUUCUCAACCUUCAUCAUAUUGUGGAGCAAGUGACAGUGCAACUAAGAAGGUUAAAGUUGGUGUAAGGAAAUCUUGGGUGCGCGAGCACUUUGAUAUUUUAGAGUCUGGUGCUAGAGCAAAAUGUAAGCAUUGUCCAAAGGGUCUGGGUAUAUACAAGAUUGGUGAUAAAUCAUAUGGGACUGCCAAUCUUAGUCGUCAUUUGGAGGAAUGCAAUGAAUAUAAGAAAACAAUAAAUAAGGAACCGAGACUACGAACACUAGAUUUUCAACCUUGCAACCUGAAAGAGCACUUUGCUGCUUGGUGAGCUUGUUGCAGUAUUAGAGCUUACAUGGUUUUAGUUAUAGUUGCAGACUUGCAGUAUUAGUCUGCAAUAUUAAAUUUUGAAUAUAUUGUAUAAUUUUGAAUGUUGGAACUUAAAUUUUAAGAUAACUGAAUGGUGAUU